UACGAAGGACCCAAGCGUUAUCCGGAUUUAUUGGGUUUAAAGGGUGCGUAGGCGGGUUAUUAAGUCAGUGGUGAAAGCUCUCGGCUCAACCGGGAAACUGCCAUUGAUACUGAUGAUCUUGAGUAUGAUUGAGGUGGGCGGAAUGUGUCAUGUAGCGGUGAAAUGCUUAGAUAUGACACAGAACACCGAUUGCGAAGGCAGCUCACUAAGCCAUAACUGACGCUGAUGCACGAAAGCGUGGGGAGCAAACAGG
RNAcentral lists this ribosomal RNA (253 nucleotides) under uncultured bacterium. RNAcentral describes it as "partial 16S ribosomal RNA". It matches the Rfam family "Bacterial small subunit ribosomal RNA", at positions 524 to 776 of the family's 1533-position model. The record is from RNAcentral.